GGACUACCAGGGUAUCUAAUCCUGUUUGAUCCCCACGCUUUCGUGCCUCAGUGUCAAUCAUACCAUAGUAAGCUGCCUUCGCAAUCGGUGUUCUGUGACAUAUCUAUGCAUUUCACCGCUACUUGUCACAUUCCGCCUACCUCUAGUACAUUCAAGCUCAUCAGUAUCAAGGGCACUGCGACAGUUAAGCUGCCGUCUUUCACCCCUGACUUAAUAAGCCACCUACGCACCCUUUAAACCCAAUAAAUCCGGAUAACGCUCGGAUCCUCCGUAUUACCGCGGCUGCUGGCAC
RNAcentral lists this ribosomal RNA (292 nucleotides) under uncultured Bacteroidota bacterium. Its description in RNAcentral is "uncultured Bacteroidetes bacterium partial 16S ribosomal RNA". Lineage: Bacteria; Pseudomonadati; Bacteroidota. The record is from RNAcentral.